Molecule: transfer RNA, 76 nt
Filed under: Jonquetella anthropi E3_33 E1
Lineage: Bacteria; Thermotogati; Synergistota; Synergistia; Synergistales; Dethiosulfovibrionaceae
Description: tRNA-Ala
Rfam family: tRNA
About the family: Transfer RNA (tRNA) molecules are approximately 80 nucleotides in length.
Source: RNAcentral
GGGGGUGUAGCUCAGCUGGGAGAGCACCUGCUUUGCAAGCAGGGGGUCGUCGGUUCGAAUCCGAUCAUCUCCACCA